Molecule: ribosomal RNA, 593 nt
Filed under: Punctelia rudecta
Lineage: Eukaryota; Fungi; Ascomycota; Lecanoromycetes; Lecanorales; Parmeliaceae
Description: eukaryotic LSU rRNA
Rfam family: 5.8S ribosomal RNA (bases 225-378)
Source: RNAcentral
UACGCAAGAAGGGACCNUUCUUAAGAUCAUAUACCGAGAGAGAGGGGCUUUGCGCUCCCGGGGGUUUCGGCCCCCAACUCUUCACCCACUGUAUACGUACCUUUGUUGCUUUGGCGGACUUCGGGGUCUUCCCGCGCUGACUUUCGGGUCGGUGAGCGUCCGUCAGAGGCCCAUUCAAAUCCGCUUUAUCAGUGACGUCCGAGUAUAUAUAUAAAAAUAGUCAAAACUUUCAACAACGGAUCUCUUGGUUCCAGCAUCGAUGAAGAACGCAGCGAAAUGCGAUAAGUAAUGUGAAUUGCAGAAUUCAGUGAAUCAUCGAAUCUUUGAACGCACAUUGCGCCCCUCGGUAUUCCGGGGGGCAUGCCUGUUCGAGCGUCAUUGUACCCCUCAAGCGUAGCUUGGUAUUGGGCUCUCGCCCCCGCGGCGUGCCCGAAAAGCAGUGGCGGUCCGGUGUGACUUUAAGCGUUGUAAAUUCUAUCCCGCUUUGAAAGCUCGCGCCGUGGCCGGCCAGACAACCCUAUUAGCUUCAAUAAUUGACCUCGGAUCAGGUAGGGAUACCCGCUGAACUUAAGCAUAUCAAUAAGCCGGAGGAA